AUUGAACGCUGGCGGCAGGCCUAACACAUGCAAGUCGAGCGGAGCGGCGGACGGGUGAGUAAUGCCAAGGAAUCUGCAUGGUAGUGGGGGAUAACGUCCGGAAAUGGGCGCUAAUACCGCAUACUAUCAGAUGAGCCGAGGUCGGAUUAGCUAGUUGGUGGGGUAAAGGCGUACCAAGGCGACGAUCCGUAGCUGGUCUGAGAGGAUGAGCAGUCAAACUGGAACUGAGACACGGUCCAUACUCCUACGGGAGGAAGCAGUGGGGAAUAUUGGACAAUGGGCGAAAGCCUGAUCCAGCCAUGCAGCGUGUGUGAAGAAGGUCGUCGGAUUGUAAAGCACUUUAAGUUGGGAGGCGUUACCAACAGAAUAAGCACCGGCUAACUUCGUGCCAGCAGCCGCGGUAAUAC
RNAcentral lists this ribosomal RNA (407 nucleotides) under uncultured bacterium. RNAcentral's name for it is "partial 16S ribosomal RNA". It matches the Rfam family "Bacterial small subunit ribosomal RNA", at positions 30 to 526 of the family's 1533-position model. The record is from RNAcentral.